Strongylocentrotus purpuratus (purple sea urchin) is the source of this 899-nucleotide long non-coding RNA. RefSeq lists it as uncharacterized. NCBI's taxonomy places the organism in Eukaryota, Metazoa, Echinodermata, Echinoidea, Camarodonta, Strongylocentrotidae. The record is from RefSeq and is a predicted model, not a curated record. The transcript is spliced from 5 exons.
UUUUGAGGUGUUCUGUAGCCCUAGUUCUUUUCUUACUGCAAUGCUAGGCAUGCACCCAGGUGCUAAAUUCCUAUAUGUUCUGGACUGGGCUGGUUCAGUCAUACAGUUUGGAAUCAGUCUGCAGCCAGCUCUCACACUGAGAGGACCUCUGUUUCACGAGCUGGGGUGACUCCGGGUAGCCACACCUGUUAUCCCUUUAAGUGUCAGCAAGUUUUGCCAGCAGCUAUUCACACAUACCUUCAUGACUAAUGUCGAUCCUGAAAUGGAAUUCCAAUGGAACUGGCUGAAACUUGAGUCGAUGUUUUGUGACUUCUGCCAUACUCUUGGCAAAUUUGCAGUCGGGAGACCAGUUCCACAGUUUUCUGGUACCAAUGAAUAUGGACUUGAAAUCUCUCAGGGAAGCACAUGGAGAUUGGCCUUAAAAAUAAAUGAUGUCAUUAUCCUGAGUGAGUUUGUCUACGUUCCUUCGAGCAGUGUUCACACUUUGUGUCAUUCACACAUUGAGUUGAUGGCCUGAAAGUGAAAUGGAGUAUUAAAAAGAUGUAAGGGACCCUGGCAAGUAUUUGUGCCGAUGUGGACUAUGAUGGAAUAGGGCUGUCAUGAUCAUGCUUCCCAUUCUUGAUCUGGUGGAUCUAGAGUCCAGUGAACUAGUUAUCAAGGAGAAAGAAAAGCUUAUAAAACACUGUAAAGGGUGGGUGCUGCAACUCUAAUCUUCUGAGGAAAAGUCGUCCAGUCGAAUUUGGCCUUCUGGUUCUUGGGGGAACAGAUCCUUCCUCUUUACCAUCUCCUUCCUCACUUUGAUUUCGUUGGUGCCGUUCAACGCUUCUACUGCUGACGUGGAUGGGAGGAUUAGGAAAAGAGCCUUAUACUUUGAUUUUGCCAAGUAUUGCACAGCUUUC